UACGGAGGGGACAAGCGUUAUUCGGAAUUAUUGGGCGUAAAGGGCGCGUAGGCGGCCAGAUAAGUGAGAAGUGAAAGCCCACGGCUCAACCGUGGAACGGCUUCUCAUACUGUCUGGCUAGAGUAUGGGAGAGGUAAGUGGAAUUUCCGGUGUAGCGGUGAAAUGCGUAGAGAUCGGAAGGAACACCAGUGGCGAAGGCGGCUUACUGGACCAUGACUGACGCUGAGGCGCGAAAGCGUGGGGAGCAAACAGG
RNAcentral lists this ribosomal RNA (253 nucleotides) under uncultured bacterium. RNAcentral describes it as "partial 16S ribosomal RNA". It matches the Rfam family "Bacterial small subunit ribosomal RNA", at positions 524 to 776 of the family's 1533-position model. The record is from RNAcentral.